This 301-nucleotide ribosomal RNA is filed under the name uncultured bacterium. Its description in RNAcentral is "partial 16S ribosomal RNA". It matches the Rfam family "Bacterial small subunit ribosomal RNA", at positions 509 to 807 of the family's 1533-position model. The record is from RNAcentral.
CAGUAGCCACGGUAAUACGAAGGGUGCAAGCGUUAAUCGGAAUUACUGGGCGUAAAGCGUGCGCAGGCGGUUUGUUAAGACAGAUGUGAAAUCCCCGGGCUCAACCUGGGAACUGCAUUUGUGACUGGCAGGCUAGAGUAUGGCAGAGGGGGGUGGAAUUCCGCGUGCAGCAGUGAAAUGCGUAGAUAUGCGGAGGAACACCGAUGGCGAAGGCAGCCCCCUGGGCCAAUACUGACGCUCACGCACGAAAGCGUGGGGAGCAAACAGGAUUAGAUACCCGCGUAGUCCCUGUCUCUUAUAC